Bombus impatiens (common eastern bumble bee) is the source of this 205-nucleotide long non-coding RNA. RefSeq lists it as uncharacterized. The transcript is spliced from 2 exons. The record is from RefSeq and is a predicted model, not a curated record. NCBI's taxonomy places the organism in Eukaryota, Metazoa, Arthropoda, Insecta, Hymenoptera, Apidae.
UCUGCUUGUUACCCUUCCGACGACCUAGAAUUUCAACGAAUUUCAGAUGAUCCAUUUCUUCAAAUAUGUACAUUCUUCGACGAAUACGAUAAAAGAAAUAGAUAACGGAGAAAAUGUAAAGCGUGUUCGGAUUAAAUAAUCUGAAAACAUUUUCACGGUUUUGUCAAUAAAGUAGUGGCAAAGUGAUUUUGUAGAUUGAAAAAUG